CAGAGGGGCAAGCGUUAUUCGGAUUAUGGGCGUAAAGGGCGCGUAGGCGGCGAUUCAAGUGACGGGUGAAAUCCCUCGGCUUAACUGAGGAACUGCCUGUCAGACUGGAUGGCUUGAGACCGGGAGAGGUGAGUGGAAUUCCCAGUGUAGCGGUGAAAUGCGUAGAUAUUGGGAGGAACACCCGUGGCGAAGGCGGUCUCCUGGGACGUUCUUGACGCUGAGGCGCGAAAGCUGGGGGAGCGAACGGGAUUAGAUACCCCGGUAGUCCCAGCCCUAAACGAUGGAUACUAGGUGUCGGGGGUAUCGACCCCCCCGGUGCCGUCGCUAACGCAGUAAGUAUCCCGCCUGGGGAGUACGGCCGCAAGGUUG
This 369-nucleotide ribosomal RNA is filed under the name uncultured organism. RNAcentral describes it as "bacterial SSU rRNA". It matches the Rfam family "Bacterial small subunit ribosomal RNA", at positions 527 to 896 of the family's 1533-position model. The record is from RNAcentral.